CCUACGGGAGGCAGCAGUGGGGAAUAUUGCACAAUGGGGGGAACCCUGAUGCAGCGACGCCGCGUGAGUGAAGAAGUAUUUCGGUAUGUAAAGCUCUAUCAGCCGGGAAGAAAAUGACGGUACCUGACUAAGAAGCCCCGGCUAACUAAGUGCCAGCAGCCGCGGUAAUACGGAGGGGGCAAGCGUUAUCCGGAUUUACUGGGUGUAAAGGGAGCGUAGACGGUUAUGCAAGUCUGAAGUGAAAGCCCAUGGCUUCACCAUGGAACUGCUUUGGAAACUGUAUAGCUGGAGUGCAGGAGAGGUAAGAGGAAUGCCUAGUGUAGCGGUGAAAUGCGUAGAUAUUAGGAGGAACACCAGUGGCGAAGGCGGCUUACUGGACUGUAACUGACGCUGAGGCACGAAAGCGAGGGGAGCAAACGGGAUUAGAUACCCUAGUAGUC
This 440-nucleotide ribosomal RNA is filed under the name uncultured bacterium. Its description in RNAcentral is "partial 16S ribosomal RNA". It matches the Rfam family "Bacterial small subunit ribosomal RNA", at positions 338 to 795 of the family's 1533-position model. The record is from RNAcentral.